CAGCCGCCGCGGUAAUACGAAGGGGGCUAGCGUUGCUCGGAAUCACUGGGCGUAAAGGGUGCGUAGGCGGGUUCUUAAGUCAGAGGUGAAAUCCUGGAGCUCAACUCCAGAACUGCCUUUGAUACUGAAAGUCUUGAGUAUGGGAGAGGUGAGUGGAACUGCGAGUGUAGAGGUGAAAUUCGUAGAUAUUCGCAAGAACACCAGUGGCGAAGGCGGCUCACUGGCCCAUUACUGACGCUGAGGCACGAAAGCGUGGGGAGCAAACAGGAUUAGAUACCCCGGUAGUCCCUGUCUCUUAUAA
This 301-nucleotide ribosomal RNA is filed under the name uncultured bacterium. RNAcentral's name for it is "partial 16S ribosomal RNA". It matches the Rfam family "Bacterial small subunit ribosomal RNA", at positions 509 to 809 of the family's 1533-position model. The record is from RNAcentral.